UGGGAUGUGGAUCAGUGGUACAGUGCUUGACUGGCAUGCAUGAGUCCAUGGGGUCAAUCCCCAACACCACAA
This 72-nucleotide transfer RNA is filed under the name Marmota monax (woodchuck). RNAcentral's name for it is "tRNA.Ala". The record is from RNAcentral. Lineage: Eukaryota; Metazoa; Chordata; Mammalia; Rodentia; Sciuridae.